RNAcentral lists this ribosomal RNA (517 nucleotides) under uncultured bacterium. RNAcentral describes it as "bacterial SSU rRNA". It matches the Rfam family "Bacterial small subunit ribosomal RNA", at positions 8 to 518 of the family's 1533-position model. The record is from RNAcentral.
AGGGUUCGAUUCUGGCUCAGGAUGAACGCUAGCGGCAGGCUUAACACAUGCAAGUCGAGGGGCAGCGGGAUGUAGCAAUACAUUGCCGGCGACUGGCGGAUGGGUGCGUAACGCGUAUGCAACCUACCUUAUACAGGGGAAUAACCUUUCGAAAGGGAGACUAACACCCCAUAGUAUUGAUUUAAGGCAUCUUAGAUUAAUUAAAUAUUUAUAGGUAUAAGAUGGGCAUGCGUAUGAUUAGCUAGUUGGUAAGGUAACGGCUUACCAAGGCGACGAUCAUUAGGGGUUCUGAGAGGAAGGUCCCCCACACUGGUACUGAGACACGGACCAGACUCCUACGGGAGGCAGCAGUGAGGAAUAUUGGUCAAUGGGCGCAAGCCUGAACCAGCCAUGCCGCGUGCAGGAAGACGGCCUUAUGGGUUGUAAACUGCUUUUACAUAAGACUAACCGUAUAUUUGCGAAUAUACCUGAAUGUAUUAUGAGAAUAAGGAUCGGCUAACUCCGUGCCAGCCGCCGC